This is a non-coding RNA of Picea glauca (white spruce), 121 nucleotides long. NCBI's taxonomy places the organism in Eukaryota, Viridiplantae, Streptophyta, Pinopsida, Pinales, Pinaceae. The record is from Rfam.
AUGUAAUGUAAUACCUACAACGUAAUGCAUCGAAUCCCAUUAGGACUUUGUAGUUAAAUGUGCUUGGGCUAGAGUAGUUCUGGGAUGGGUGACCUCCCGAGAAGUCCUAGUGUUUUACAUG